Molecule: RNA transcript, 2409 nt
Organism: Malus domestica (apple)
Lineage: Eukaryota; Viridiplantae; Streptophyta; Magnoliopsida; Rosales; Rosaceae
Gene name: DEAD-box ATP-dependent RNA helicase 15-like
Source: RefSeq, a predicted model, not a curated record
AGAGGGUUUUUUCGUCCACUCCCUAUAUCUUCUCCACUCCCUUCGAACCCAAAAACCCUAGAUCCAAGGUUUUCCCCCCAUUUCCCCCAUUCUUCCCCCAAGCCAUUUUCAAUUUCUUCUAUUUUUUUUCAGAGGCCUCGUAAAUCGCAGUUAUCACACACACUCUCUCUCUCUCUCCUGCUGAGUUUCCGCUUAAAGAAUGGGUGAUGUCAGAGACAACGAUGGGUACGAAGAGGAGCUCGUCGACUACGAAGAGGAGGACCAGAACGCCCCCAACUCCGUUUCCGCCAAGCCCUCUGGCGAUACCGUCAAAAAGGGAUAUGUUGGCAUCCAUAGUUCAGGAUUCAGAGACUUCCUAUUGAAGCCGGAGCUUCUUCGAGCAAUUGUGGAUUCUGGAUUCGAACAUCCUUCAGAAGUUCAACAUGAGUGCAUCCCCCAAGCUAUCUUAGGAAUGGAUGUUAUUUGUCAAGCAAAAUCUGGGAUGGGAAAAACUGCCGUCUUUGUUCUAUCAACCCUUCAGCAAAUAGAUCCAGUACCUGGUCAGGUUGCUGCUCUUAUUCUUUGCCACACGAGAGAAUUGGCUUACCAGAUUUGUCAUGAAUUUGAGAGGUUCAGUACUUAUUUGCCGGACCUGAAGGUUGCAGUUUUCUAUGGAGGAGUCGGUAUCAAGGUUCACAAAGAUUUGCUAAAAAACGAAUGUCCUCACAUUGUUGUUGGUACACCUGGGAGAGUAUUAGCUUUGGCAAGAGACAAAGAGCUUGGACUGAAGAAUGUCAGACAUUUUAUUCUUGAUGAAUGCGAUAAGAUGCUUGAGUCACUUGACAUGAGGAGAGAUGUGCAGGAGAUCUUUAAGUUGACUCCUCAUGACAAGCAGGUGAUGAUGUUUUCAGCAACACUAAGCAAGGAAAUCCGCCCUGUUUGCAAGAAGUUUAUGCAAGAUCCCAUGGAAAUCUAUGUAGAUGAUGAAGCCAAAUUGACUCUUCAUGGUCUCGUACAGCACUACAUCAAAUUGAGUGAGCCUGAGAAAAACCGCAAAUUGACUGACCUCCUUGAUGCAUUGGAUUUCAACCAAGUUGUUAUUUUUGUAAAAAGUGUAAGCAGAGCAGCUGAGCUGAACAAUUUACUUGCUGAUUGUAACUUCCCCUCCAUCUGCAUUCACUCUGGAAUGCCGCAGGAAGAAAGGUUGUUUGGACUUCAAGGUAUCGUUUGGUACGUGGGAUGGGACGGAAGGCACUUGUCCCAUGUUUGGUGUGCCAAUUUACCUAGGACGCGCUGUCCUGUGGAAUGGAGUGGGAUGGGACGCACUUGUCCCACGUUUGGUGUGCCAAUUUACUUGGGACACGCCGUCUCAUGGAACGGAUUUUAGUCAAUUUUUUGUGCCACCCUCCCCUCGGAACGACUUGUUCUAGCCCAUGGAACACAAAAGUAUAACUUUUUGGACAACAAUACCCCUCCUUUUUUUCAUUAAUUUCACUAUCUACCCUCCCUCUCUCUUGUAGCCUCCUCCUGCUCCACCACAAACCCAGAAACCCAAGCUAACCCAAUCCCAACAAACCCAUCUGAACCCAACCCCACGUUCCUCCUACUACCUCCCUCCUUGCUAGUCCCACGAUGAGACCGUUGCCCUCUGCCACGAAAACCUCAAGACCACCCACUCACAGGACGUGGCCGACGCCGUCGCACGAGGGAUGGGACAGCGAGGAUUAGGCGGAAGAUGUGAGGGAUGAUGUUGAACUCGUCGACGGUGGCUCAGGCUAAAACGUUAUAAGAAUUUCAAGGAGGGGCUUUCAAGAAUUCUUGUGGCAACGGAUUUAGUAGGAAGGGGAAUUGACAUCGAGCGUGUUAACAUUGUUAUCAAUUAUGACAUGCCUGAUUCUGCUGAUACCUACUUACACAGGGUUGGCAGAGCUGGUAGGUUUGGUACCAAGGGGUUAGCAAUUACAUUUGUCUCUUCUGCAUCUGAUUCUGAUGUUCUUAAUCAGGUCCAGUCAAGGUUUGAGGUGGAUAUAAAGGAGCUUCCGGAACAAAUUGAUACUUCUACUUACAUGCAAGCGUAAUCAUUAUCCGAAAGGAACCCUGCAAAAUUCAAAGGAUGAUGGACUGCGGGAUCCAGUGUCCUCUGGUUCAGUUAGUACCAUUUUGUUUUGAAUGUGGACUAAUUAAUUAUUACAGAAGAGGAUUAGGAUGCUUUUGUUAUAGGGAGCAGAUAAUCUGUACGAUUGAGCUUUACAUGAAUUGUUUAUGAUAAUGCGAUGGUAGUCUUAUUAACUUAAGAUUUCUCUCUAAAAUUUAGGCUCAAUUCGUUUCCUGUAUUUUUGUUUGAUGGAUAAAAUGAUUUUAGUAUUUUUGGAUCUUGUUAAUCUCAUUUGACCCCUGUACAAUUUGAAGUCAAUAAUUUGUUUAUGGUAA